GUAAAUGUGUGUGUGUGUGUGAGAGAGAGAGAGUGGGUAGAGUCCAGUGUGUGUGUGUGAGUGGCUAGAGUCCAGUGUGUGUAUGUGAGUGUGUGUGGCUAGAGUCCAGUGUGUGAUUGUGUGUGUGUGAGAGAGAGAGUGGUUAGAGUCCAGUGUGUGUGUGUGUGUGUGUGUGUGUGUGUGUGUGUGUGUGUGUGUGUGUGAGAGUGGGUGGAGUCCAGUGUGUGUGUGUGUGUGUGGUCCAGUGUGUGUGUGUGAGAGUGGGUAGAGUCCAGUGUGUGUGUGAGAGUGGGUAGAGUCCAGUGUGUGUGUGAGAGUGGGUAGAGUCCAGUGAGAGUGGGUAGAGUCCAUUGUGUGUGAGAGUGGGUAGAGUCCAGUGUGUGUGAGUGUGGGUAGAGUCCAGUUCCAGUGUGUGUGUGUGUGUGUGUGAGAGUGGGUGGAGUCCAGUGUGUGUGUGUGUGGGGGUGGAGUCCAGUGUGUGUGUGUGAGAGUG
RNAcentral lists this long non-coding RNA (493 nucleotides) under Salmo salar (Atlantic salmon). RNAcentral describes it as "lncRNA (ENSSSAG00000084369.1, ENSSSAG00000098232.1)". Lineage: Eukaryota; Metazoa; Chordata; Actinopteri; Salmoniformes; Salmonidae. The record is from RNAcentral.